Molecule: long non-coding RNA, 1172 nt
Filed under: Salarias fasciatus (jewelled blenny)
Lineage: Eukaryota; Metazoa; Chordata; Actinopteri; Blenniiformes; Blenniidae
Description: lncRNA (ENSSFAG00005009332.1)
Source: RNAcentral
UGCAGACUGACCCUGGACAUCAGAGCACCUUCAUCAUCCACCCGGGGACCCCCAGCAGCCGCAGGUGAGCUCUCGUCUGUCUCUGGUCUCUGUGGGCCGCCUGUCCUCCCAGACUGCAGAAACCGGACCCUGACUGGACCUGAUGUCCCUGCUGGAGGGGGGACAGUGAGACAGACGACCGGUCCUCCCGUGUCCUGCUUGGUUCUGACUCUGUCCCUCUUGUCCCUCUUGUCCCUCUUGUCCCUCUUGUCCGUCCUGCAGCUGUCAGCAGAGUUCAGAUUCUGACGAGUCCACAGGAGGACUGGAGCGGUCGCAGGACGACGCAGACGGAGGCUCUCUGAGUGGCAGCAGCUCUCUGGACAGUUUGGACGACGGCUGUGAAGACACUCUGACCUCCAGCCUGAGCGACGGUAAACGCCACACCUCCUCCUCCUCCUCCUCCUCCUCCUCCUCCUCCUGCUGACCUCCGACCUCUGACCCCACAGAGAAGUUUGACACCGACCUGAGGAGCCUGCAGUCGCCGGAUCAGCUGCACUUCCUGAACCCCCGCCUCAGCGUCUCCACCCGCUUCCUGUCCCGCUUCCAGGACAGAUGCAGACGGCAGGUCGUGACCUCUCACGCGAGGUCACCGGACGAGGUCGGCAGCGUCGACGUCACUCUGACCAAUCAAGACCAAACCCUGAUCCCAAGCCCCGCCCCCACAGCCCCGCCCCUCAUCGCCGGGGACAUCAGCAGCUGCUCGACAGACAGACCCUGCCCUCCUCUGGCUGAUAACCCCGCCUGCUACAACGAGGAGGAGGAGGAGCACCAGGAGCACCAGGGCCUCCUGCUGCAGGCUGCACAGGUCAUGGAGGAGCUGAAGGCGACCGCCCGACGAGCGCGCCACAUUUUUCAACAGCUGGGAGCGUCUUCGCCCGCCGGUUCACCGUGGCUCCGCCGCACGGCGUCCGUCCUCGCCCUGCUCCGCGAUCUGGACCAAGGUGCCUCGGAGCCGGUGGACUGCGGCGCCCCCAGUGGUCAGCUGCAGGACAACACCGCCUGAGGACGGCUGUAUAUGUACAUGUGGAAUUUGUAAAAUAGAAUAAAAAUUAAAAAAAAAAAGAAAACCUGUUUUCUUUUUUUUUAAUUUUUAAAAAGUUUUCUUAAUUUCAGAACUUUUUCACAAAGCUAAG